UGGGGAAUAUUGCACAAUGGGCGAAAGCCUGAUGCAGCAACGCCGCGUGAGCGAUGAAGGCCUUUGGGUCGUAAAGCUCUGUCCUUGGGGAAGAAACAAAUGACGGUACCCAAGGAGGAAGCCCCGGCUAACUACGUGCCAGCAGCCGCGGUAAUACGUAGGGGGCAAGCGUUAUCCGGCAUUAUUGGGCGUAAAGAGUGCGUAGGUGGUUUUGUAAGCGCGGGGUGAAAGGCAAUGGCUCAACUAUUGUAAGCCCUGCGAACUGCAAGACUUGAGUGCAGGAGAGGAAAGCGGAAUUCUUAGUGUAGCGGUGAAAUGCGUAGAUAUUAGGAGGAACACCAGUGGCGAAGGCGGCUUUCUGGACUGUAACUGACACUGAGGUACGAAAGCGUGGGGAGCAAACA
Molecule: ribosomal RNA, 404 nt
Filed under: uncultured prokaryote
Description: bacterial SSU rRNA
Rfam family: Bacterial small subunit ribosomal RNA
Source: RNAcentral